This is a long non-coding RNA of Nomascus leucogenys (northern white-cheeked gibbon), 407 nucleotides long. RefSeq lists it as uncharacterized. NCBI's taxonomy places the organism in Eukaryota, Metazoa, Chordata, Mammalia, Primates, Hylobatidae. The record is from RefSeq and is a predicted model, not a curated record. The transcript has 3 exons.
AGAAAACCGCUGUAGGACUACUGGAAAAGAGAGAAAAGGGUACCUUUAUACCAUUGACAUAUAAGAAAUGUAGAACUUCUGGAGUGUGUGAAACACACGGAACCACACUGAAACCAAACUAAUCAGACUUGCAUAGCAGCAGCACCAUAUGGCAGUGACAGCACCUUCUGCAAGAAGAGAAACUCUAAACCAAUUACAACGAUAUCAUUUCUGUGUUGAACCAUAAGUCAUUGGAAACCCACUGCAACCAUGCUUCCAUAAUAGCAGAUGGAAUUUCCAAUUCUAUAAAGAAAAGGAAUGUUGAAGUAACAUACAUGUAGCUUUGAGGAGGAGGCAGGUACAUUCAAGCUCAUGGAGAGGAUUGACAGCCACAGAUAGGUACUCAUAAGAACUGAAUGUAAAUCAUC